This 253-nucleotide ribosomal RNA is filed under the name uncultured bacterium. RNAcentral's name for it is "partial 16S ribosomal RNA". It matches the Rfam family "Bacterial small subunit ribosomal RNA", at positions 524 to 776 of the family's 1533-position model. The record is from RNAcentral.
GACGUAGGGCGCGAGCGUUGUCCGGAUUUAUUGGGCGUAAAGAGCGUGUAGGCGGCUAGGUAGGUCCGUUGUGAAAACUCGAGGCUCAACCUCGAGACGUCGAUGGAAACCAUCUGGCUAGAGUCCGGAAGAGGAGAGUGGAAUUCCUGGUGUAGCGGUGAAAUGCGCAGAUAUCAGGAAGAACACCCGUGGCGAAGGCGGCUCUCUGGUACGUGACUGACGCUGAGACGCGAAAGCGUGGGGAGCGAACAGG